AGCGAACGCUGGCGGCAGGCCUAACACAUGCAAGUCGAACGAACCUUUCGGGGUUAGUGGCGGACGGGUGAGUAACACGUGGGAACGUGCCUUUAGGUUCGGAAUAACUCAGGGAAACUUGUGCUAAUACCGAAUGUGCCCUUCGGGGGAAAGAUUUAUCGCCUUUAGAGCGGCCCGCGUCUGAUUAGCUAGUUGGUUGAGGUAAUGGCUCACCAAGGCGACGAUCAGUAGCUGGUCUGAGAGGAUGAUCAGCCACAUUGGGACUGAGACACGGCCCAAACUCCUACGGGAGGCAGCAGUGGGGAAUCUUGCGCAAUGGGCGAAAGCCUGACGCAGCCAUGCCGCGUGAAUGAUGAAGGUCUUAGGAUUGUAAAAUUCUUUCACCGGGGACGAUAAUGACGGUACCCGGAGAAGAAGCCACGGCUAACUACGUG
Molecule: ribosomal RNA, 434 nt
Filed under: uncultured bacterium
Lineage: Bacteria
Description: partial 16S ribosomal RNA
Rfam family: Bacterial small subunit ribosomal RNA
Source: RNAcentral